RNAcentral lists this unclassified non-coding RNA (1676 nucleotides) under Hevea brasiliensis (rubber tree). Lineage: Eukaryota; Viridiplantae; Streptophyta; Magnoliopsida; Malpighiales; Euphorbiaceae. The record is from RNAcentral.
AUUUUUUUUUUAAAUAAUUAUCAAACUCAGUGACCUUGAUGGACAGAUUCUAUUGCAGAAUUAUUUUGUUUCCCAUGUGGCUUCUGUAGGAACCAUGUUUGAACUUGUACUUGGUGUUUUGCCUUUUGUUUUAGAGAUAUAAAAUCCAUUUCUGGGCCCUCACAUGCAAGCUUGAGGUUGUAGUUUGUAGUUGUUUGACAUUUGACUUUUAAUAUGUGUGUGUGGAUUGUCUUCCAUAUUUAUAUUCAUAAAACCUUUGCAUAUAUUACAAAUUGAAGAAGUGGUCUUUUGCAUAUCCUCAUAAUUUUAAGAUUCAUAAAUUCUGCAAAGAUGCUGCUUAUGGAAGAUAGUUCUUUACCUAUCUUAAUAAUUAUAAAACAUUCUAUAGUAGGGUGAUUAAUGAACAUGCUAAUAUUUAAUUCUGAUCCUUUUCCUUAUGCUGAGUAAUUUUUUUGGUGUCGGAAAUUUUUAUUGUAUCAGUAGAUAAAAACAUCAAAAUUUGUCCACUUCCCCCCUCCCGAAUCAGCUUGGUUUCUUUAAUGGUCGUUCUGUAUGAAAAACUCGUGGAAGAAACAAAAGAUCCUUAGUAGGUUAAUACAACAUUGUACUUCAGCAUAUUGACAAUAACUUGAGCUUAUUCCAAAAUUUUUUUUUCAUAUACCUGGGUUGCCUGUAAUAUGUACUGCUGCCUAAUGAUUGGAGGAUGGCUUAAUUCCAAAAGUUAGGUUCAAACUUUGGCUGUCUGCAAUCUGCAUGUGGUGAUUUUCUUAACUUGGUUAUGGUUUCUACUUCUAAUUGAUGCAGGGAUAUCUUUGUGUGUGUGCAUCAAGCUGUAAAGUUUGUGCUCCUGGUUCAUCAUUACUGAAGUUUGCAAAAUUUACCUAGUAUGCAUCACAUGUUAUAAACAUGUAUUCUUCAAUGGUCAAAUUAGUUGGAAAAUGAAAACUACCGCUUUUGUAUUUUUAUAAGAAGUAAGUCUGGCGAUUCUUUGAAAUAAUUUAAGUCACAUUUUUAGAAAUGGAUGGUCAGAGAAUUCUUGGCAGACUGAAAAGAAAUAUAAAUGAUAUCCUUGCUAAUUAACAUGUAUGCGAUUUGCUAUGAAGCUUAUACAUCUUAUGCUUAGUUCAAAAGUGGUUUUAUUGCAUGGGAGUUUUAAGAGUGAUGGAAAGGAAGGUUAAUGAAGGUGAAGGGGGUGAUUGCACGGAAUGGAAAGCUAGGCUAAUUAACCUUAUUUGGAGAGUUUUAAUGUGUAUAAAACAUUAAAAAUCUUUACAGUCCAUCUUUAACCCCAAGUUUGGGAGUUGAGAAAAAUGGGUAUUUGGAGGUGAAUGGAUACAAGGAUUUGAUCGUCUAUAAGCUCCAUUUACACCUUAAAAUAAACUCCAAAAAAAGGUUAGGGAUUAAUUUUAUUUACACAUUUCAUCCGUCAAACUUCUCUAACUCCACUCUCAUACAAUAUUAGAGCAUGAUGAACAAAACAUAUUUCAAUUUUCUGAGAUUGAUACCAGCGAUUUUGAUUGCUCAUUAGUAUUUACAGAAAUCCCAAAAAAAAAAAAAAAAGUAGUGGUGACAAACAACCAGUUUUAUAGUCUGUAAUAAACUUUUAUUAUGAAUGCUUACAGAUAUUUGCUUAUUGUCAUUGAUGCCUUUUCAGGACUGUAUAUCAUUGUCCCUUU